This 434-nucleotide ribosomal RNA is filed under the name uncultured bacterium. RNAcentral describes it as "partial 16S ribosomal RNA". It matches the Rfam family "Bacterial small subunit ribosomal RNA", at positions 29 to 507 of the family's 1533-position model. The record is from RNAcentral.
AACGAACGCUGGCGGCAUGCCUAACACAUGCCAGUCGAACGAGAUCUUCGGGUGUAGUGGCGCACGGGUGCGUCACGCGUGGGAAUCUGCACUCAGGUUCGGGAUACUACUUGGAAACGGUGGCUAAUAUCGGAAGACGACGUUUAGUCCAAAGAUUGAUCUCCUGAGGAUGAGCGCGCGUCGCAUUAGCUUGUUGGUUUGGUAAAGCCGCACCAAGGUGACAAACCUUAGAUGGUAUGGGAGGAAGAUCAGCGACACUGGGACUGGGACACGGCCGAGACUCUUGCGGGAGGCAGGAGAGGGUGAUAUUGGAAAAUCGGGGAAAGGCUGAACCAGCUAUGCUGCGUGAGCGAUGAUGUCCUGAGGGAAGUAAAGCUCUUUUACCCGGGACGGUAAUGACGGUACCGGGAGAAUAAGCUCCGGCUAACUCCGUG